UGCAGUCGAGCGAAGAGAUGGGAGCUUGCUCCCUGAUCUUAGCGGCGGACGGGUGAGUAACACGUGGGCAACCUGCCCUGCAGACUGGGAUAACUCCGGGAAACCGGAGCUAAUACCGGGUAAUACAUCGCACCGCAUGGUGCAAUGUUGAAAGUUGGCCUUUGGCUAACACUGCAGGAUGGGCCCGCGGCGCAUUAGCUAGUUGGUAAGGUAAUGGCUUACCAAGGCGACGAUGCGUAGCCGACCUGAGAGGGUGAUCGGCCACACUGGGACUGAGACACGGCCCAGACUCCUACGGGAGGCAGCAGUAGGGAAUCUUCCGCAAUGGACGAAAGUCUGACGGAGCAACGCCGCGUGAGUGACGAAGGCCUUCGGGUCGUAAAGCUCUGUUGUUAGGGAAGAACAAGUACCGUUCGAAUAGGGCGGUACCUUGACGGUACCUAACCAGAAAGCCACGGCUAACUACGUGCCAGCAGCCGCGGUAAUACGUAGGUGGCAAGCGUUGUCCGGAAUUAUUGGGCGUAAAGCGCGCGCAGGCGGUCUUUUAAGUCUGAUGUGAAAGCCCACGGCUCAACCGUGGAGGGUCAUUGGAAACUGGAGGACUUGAGUGCAGAAGAGGAGAGUGGAAUUCCACGUGUAGCGGUGAAAUGCGUAGAUAUGUGGAGGAACACCAGUGGCGAAGGCGGCUCUCUGGUCUGUAACUGACGCUGAGGCGCGAAAGCGUGGGGGAGCAAACAGGAUUAGAUACCCUGGUAGUCCACGCCGUAAACGAUGAGUGC
This 779-nucleotide ribosomal RNA is filed under the name Alkalihalobacillus sp. RNAcentral's name for it is "bacterial SSU rRNA". It matches the Rfam family "Bacterial small subunit ribosomal RNA", at positions 56 to 816 of the family's 1533-position model. The record is from RNAcentral. Lineage: Bacteria; Bacillati; Bacillota; Bacilli; Caryophanales; Bacillaceae.